AGGCGGCCAUUCGACUUUCCACGCGUCUCCAGCUGCAAUAACCUGAAAUGUUAAUAAUGGGAUGAGCAUACAUUGUAUACUCAGUGUGGGAACAUGCAAUUAUUGUCCACGUUAAUAAAAUGGUAACACAUAUGAUCGUAACAUUCAUAACUGUAAGUCACACGGUGGCAUACCAAGGACCUUUCCGUCCUGGACCGAUUCAGCCAGCCCCUGGCGACUGGUUGCAACCAUAACUUUAACAUGUAAAUCGCAUUGUGGCAUACCAAGGACUGUGACGUCCUGGACCCAUUCAACGGACCCCUAGCGAUAUAUAAUUUAACUCACAUAUUGCAAACACAUAAUAUUAAAAUGGACAACAAUUAACCACAACAUGUACUUAAAUAAAUCCCCCGCCUGAAAAUUUAACUUGAACUUCAACUUCAACUUGAAUGCUAACUUGAGUAAUUCAAUUAAAAUUCAUAUCCUAGUCGCGCCGCACCUAGUCAGAUAAAUUCAAAUAAUAAAAUGUAAGGGCCUAAAUGUGCUUAGAAAUAAUUUAAAACUUGAGAAUUUCUUUUAUAAAAUCAUUAAAAUCCUUAGUCCAAAAUAAAUAAAGAUAUUUUCUUAUAAAUAUUUAGCUUUAUUAGAUUUAAAAACUAAGCUCAAAUUAAAAUCUUAUCUCAGAUCCAAAAUUUAAUUAAAAACUGAAGCCCAAAGAUCUAGUUAUAUUAAAAGCAAACUUCAGCCCAGCCAUAGAAUUAAAGUUGAAACCCAAACUUAAAGCCCAAUACCUUCCCUCUUCCUCUCUCUUGAAACACGCACAGCACCCUCCUUACUUCUUCUUCUUCUUCUUCUUCUCCCCCUUUUCUCUCUCUCAACCCCUCGCCCCCUCUCUUUGAAUCCGACGCCGCCGCCACCUCCGGCGAAUCCGCCGUCGUCGUCUCAUCUCUCGCCUCUAACCUCUCACCUCUCGGCCCUCCCUAUCUCUCCUUCACAGAACACGCACACCAACACAUGUCCAAACCCUUCUCCCUCUCUCUUCCUCCUCUCGCCUACACCGCCUACCACGCUCCGGCGGGCAGCCACGGCGAUUGCCGCCGUCACGCCUGCCGCCUCCUGCUCCAGCCCGGCGUCGCCCCUCAUCUCCUCUCUCCCCUGUUUCCACGGCCGGACAGCGCCAGCGGUAGCGCUGCCGUGACAGCAGCGGCGCCGCCUGCGGCUUCGCCGACCACCAUCAUACAGCCGCCGCAACUCCUUAUUUUCUUCUCUUAGCUUACCCCCUGGUUCAGCCCUCAAUUCCCAAUCAAUAAAAAUGUUUUCUUUUCUGUAACAUAGUCUUAUUCUACUUCUUGCUUCUAAAUUUGCUGUCAAUUUCGAUGAGUUUAAACAAAUGAAAUUGUUGAGGGCAUCAGAUUAUGUAUGGGCGUGUGUGUUUUGUUUAACAGAAGUUUGGUGUUUGAUUUGAGAAUAAAAAUGAUCUGUGAGAGGCAUAUUGUUGGGUUGCUGCAUAAGCUAUGAAUGAGGUAGCUUGUGUGAUGAAAUAAAAGUUUAUUGAAACAAUGAAAUUACCGAUUAGUAUUCUGUAGAGGAAAUCAGGUUGAUGUUCUGC
RNAcentral lists this long non-coding RNA (1588 nucleotides) under Salvia miltiorrhiza (redroot sage). Its description in RNAcentral is "long non-coding RNA (SMIL_LNC005094)". Lineage: Eukaryota; Viridiplantae; Streptophyta; Magnoliopsida; Lamiales; Lamiaceae. The record is from RNAcentral.